GGUUCUGUGGUCUAACGGUUAGGACUUUGGAUUUUGAUGAUAAGUCAUUCCAGCAGCGAGGGUUCGACUCCCUCCAGAACCU
This 82-nucleotide transfer RNA is filed under the name Trichoderma atroviride IMI 206040. It matches the Rfam family "tRNA". Rfam says of the family: Transfer RNA (tRNA) molecules are approximately 80 nucleotides in length. Their secondary structure includes four short double-helical elements and three loops (D, anti-codon, and T loops). The record is from Rfam by way of RNAcentral. Lineage: Eukaryota; Fungi; Ascomycota; Sordariomycetes; Hypocreales; Hypocreaceae.